RNAcentral lists this small RNA (365 nucleotides) under Histoplasma capsulatum var. duboisii H88. RNAcentral's name for it is "Histoplasma capsulatum H88 hypothetical RNA". The record is from RNAcentral. Lineage: Eukaryota; Fungi; Ascomycota; Eurotiomycetes; Onygenales; Ajellomycetaceae.
AUGAUAGCAGGGUUUCCAAGCGAUCAGGUUGGUGUGAGAAUUCAGAAUGUACACAGCAUUCUUAAGAAUCACCUGAAAUUGUUUGCCUAGACUGUUGGUCAUAAAUCUUGAUCGAUUAUUGCAGAUAUGUCGCUCAGCACCAGUGUCGAAUAUCCAGGAAUCUCAGAGAUACGGGCGAUUGGAAGGAUAGUUCUCGACAUUCAUAUUUAGACAUCUUGUCAAUCAAUCGACAGCUGCAAUAUCAGAAGUGAUCAAAGGUUGACUAACAGAGUGAUAGAUAGAAUGUGCAACGGGCGUACUACCGAUUAACGGUUUAAGCACUAUCCUAAUACAGUUUACGAAUUGAUUAAGGAAAGAAAGAGAAA